UGAAGCUGGAUUCGCUAGUAAUCGCGCAUCAGCCAUGGCGCGGUGAAUACGUUCCCGGGCCUUGUACACACCGCCCGUCAAGCCAUGGGAGCCGGGGGCACUUGAAGUACGCCGCCGCGAGGAGCGUCCUAGAGUGAAACUGGUGACUGGGGCUAAGUCGUAACAAGGUAAC
This 172-nucleotide ribosomal RNA is filed under the name uncultured bacterium. RNAcentral describes it as "partial 16S ribosomal RNA". It matches the Rfam family "Bacterial small subunit ribosomal RNA", at positions 1321 to 1500 of the family's 1533-position model. The record is from RNAcentral.